Molecule: ribosomal RNA, 469 nt
Filed under: uncultured bacterium
Lineage: Bacteria
Description: SSU rRNA
Rfam family: Bacterial small subunit ribosomal RNA
Source: RNAcentral
AGGAUAAACGCUGGCGGCGUGCCUAACACAUGCAAGUCGAACGCGCUUUCGGGCUUCGGUGCGAGAGCGAGUGGCGGACGGGUGAGUAACACAUGGGUACCUGCCUUUCAGUGAGGGAUACCGGCGAGAAAUCGCCGACAAUACCGCAUGGGCUUGUGGGAACACAAGCAAAGUGGCGCAAGCCACGCUGGAAGAUGGGCCUGUGGCCGAUUAGCUAGUUGGGGGGGUAAUGGCCUCCCAAGGCGACGAUCGGUAGCUGGUCUGAGAGGACGAUCAGCCACACUGGGAUUGAGAACGGCCCAGACUCCUACGGGGGGCAGCAGUGAGGAAUUUUCCGCAAUGGAGGCAACUCUGACGGAGCAACGCCGCGUGCAGGAGGAAGGUUUUCGGAUCGUAAACUGCUUUUCUCGGGGACGAGCAAGGACGGUACCCGAGGAAGAGCCCCGGCUAACUACGUGCCAGCAGCCGC